Molecule: ribosomal RNA, 527 nt
Filed under: uncultured bacterium
Lineage: Bacteria
Description: bacterial SSU rRNA
Rfam family: Bacterial small subunit ribosomal RNA
Source: RNAcentral
AAUAGAUACCCAGGUAGUCCACGCCGUAAACGAUGUCGAUUUGGAGGUUGUUCCCUUGAGGAGUGGCUUCCGGAGCUAACGCGUUAAGUCGACCGCCUGGGGAGUACGGCCGCAAGGUUAAAACUCAAAUGAAUUGACGGGGGCCCGCACAAGCGGUGGAGCAUGUGGUUUAAUUCGAUGCAACGCGAAGAACCUUACCUACUCUUGACAUCCACGGAACUUUUCAGAGAUGAAUUGGUGCCUUCGGGAACCGUGAGACAGGUGCUGCAUGGCUGUCGUCAGCUCGUGUUGUGAAAUGUUGGGUUAAGUCCCGCAACGAGCGCAACCCUUAUCCUUUGUUGCCAGCGGUUAGGCCGGGAACUCAAAGGAGACUGCCAGUGAUAAACUGGAGGAAGGUGGGGAUGACGUCAAGUCAUCAUGGCCCUUACGAGUAGGGCUACACACGUGCUACAAUGGCGCAUACAAAGAGAAGCGACCUCGCGAGAGCAAGCGGACCUCAUAAAGUGCGUCGUAGUCCGGAUUGGAGU